UUAAACCGAAAACGGGUGUGCAAUAUUUUACACGACAACGGCAUUACUGCGUUUUCAAUUGUAGCUGAUUUGAAAAGGGCAGUACGGAUGGUCAGCCUCAAAGAAUGGGGUCCUUUGUAGAAACGUCCUUUAAAUUCGGCCAUUUUCAGAAGUGAAGUCUUUUCAAAUGGACGAUCAUGGUGUACGCAAUGUUUUUCGGGGUUCCUGGACCGUGCUUGAAGACGACAGUCUGCUUCGUUCACUUUCCUUUCUGUGAUGGUAUGAAUUUAAUAUCUUCUCCGAUGAGUUUACCAAGUAAAUGUGAAGCGCUUUAUACUGGUUCCAUUCUUUUGUGACUUAGUUGCAUAAACUAAAGAUUUAUCUUCAGUUCUGUUGCUGCUUUGAAGAAAUUAAGUUCUGAACUACUGUGUUUCAAACCGUACAUAUGCCUAUAUGUAGUACAUUAGCUUGUCUUGUCUUUGUAAUUGUAUUAAAUAUGUAAAAUACA
Molecule: long non-coding RNA, 487 nt
Organism: Anguilla anguilla (European eel)
Lineage: Eukaryota; Metazoa; Chordata; Actinopteri; Anguilliformes; Anguillidae
Exons: 2
Source: RefSeq, a predicted model, not a curated record